This 799-nucleotide long non-coding RNA is filed under the name Nicotiana tabacum (common tobacco). RNAcentral's name for it is "long non-coding RNA (NTAB_LNC002589)". The record is from RNAcentral. Lineage: Eukaryota; Viridiplantae; Streptophyta; Magnoliopsida; Solanales; Solanaceae.
CGGAAAGAAAUAUCAAUUAAGCAAGAUUAAAGUACUGAAGAAUUUAACAAAAUACACAAUAUAAUCUCACUAGGACCGUGUGUCACGAAUCUGAGCCUCUAGAAUACAGAAUAUCAUCCUAAUACAAGGUAUAUCCAAAGUCUGAUAAUGUGGAAAUAAAGAGAUAGGAUAGGAGGGAGAAGAUCAAUGGCUGCGAAUGCCGUGCAGCUACCUCGAUACUCCCAGAAGCUGGAUCUGCUGAUCAACUGGAUUUACUGAGCCUGAAACUGCCCUGGAUCUGCACACAAGGUGCAGGAAGUAAAGUGAGUACUCCGACCCAGUGAGUAAUAAAAGUAACUACAGUCCGAAGAUAAGAAAAUCCCGUAAAUACACAAAGUAAGCUAAAAUCCAAAUAUACAACAACAUAUGGAACUGAGCAGCUAAACAACAGUAUAAAUACAAAUACAUGAAUGCAAUGCAAUGCAUAUGAUGGUACAGUCCAGUACCCACUGCGGCGUGCAGCCCGAGCCAUCCAUAUUUAUUUAUCGUCGACGGCGCUCACUAGAGGUGUGUACAGACUCCGGAGGGGCUCCUACAGCCCAAGCGCAAUAUCUUGGUCAGUCAUUGUUACCUGACCGGUCAGCCAUUGUUACCUGAUCAAUUUAUAUCAUACAGUGCCAUUGUUACCACUGUUCAAGUAUAUCAUCCAGUAUCAUUGUUACAACUAUUUCAAGUAUAUCAGACAGUGUCAUUGUUACCAUUGUUUCAAGUAUAUCACACAGUGUCAUUGUUACCACUAUUUCAAGUCACUUUAUAAUCA